UUUUUCAGUAUCCAUUUUGGGUUAGUUACACUCCACUAGAAAAACAUAAGUACUAAAUAUUACCCUACUAGAGAAAGCCACAACUUCCUUUUUCAAAUCAUUACAGAACACACAAUUUUUUAAGUCGGCAUGUACAAUAUCUUUUGUUUUUAUGUUGACACACUCAGAUGUCGACACACACCUAUUGACACAAACCAGUAAAUUUUAUAUAUUUUUCCAACGUUUUUUUUUUUUUGACAUCUGAUAUUAUUAACAAAGCUCAAAGCUCAAAAGACCAAGUUUCGAAGUCUUUGAACUGAUGACA
RNAcentral lists this long non-coding RNA (304 nucleotides) under Brassica napus (rape). RNAcentral's name for it is "long non-coding RNA (BNAP_LNC011036)". Lineage: Eukaryota; Viridiplantae; Streptophyta; Magnoliopsida; Brassicales; Brassicaceae. The record is from RNAcentral.